UGGACGUGAAAGUGGUGGAAAAAUACAUGCUGGACCGAGCUCCGAGAAAAUUAACAAAAAAUGGCAGAAAAUCACCGUGCUCAUUUAUUAAUGCAUCUUGAUCGUGUCAACAGCCUCAGAGAGAUAGCCAACAGGCCCAGACCCUGAUGGGAUUACAGAAAUGAAUGAAUCCUUUUGAGUUGUACAUGGAUGAAGCCUUUCGAAUGCGG
Molecule: long non-coding RNA, 209 nt
Filed under: Lytechinus variegatus (green sea urchin)
Lineage: Eukaryota; Metazoa; Echinodermata; Echinoidea; Temnopleuroida; Toxopneustidae
Description: uncharacterized LOC121423280
Source: RNAcentral